GUGUGGGGCUUGGUGGAUGUCCCCGAGGUGGACAUGAGGGUCCCCAGUCAUCUUCCGAAAAGGUCAAAUUCCCCAAUUUGGAUUGAGGUUCCUGGUGCAGGGCUUGGUGGAUGUCCCCGAGUUGGACUUGAGAGUCCCCAAUCCUUCUGAAAAGGUGUCAAAGUCGUCAAUUUGGCUGGAGCUUACUGUUGCGUGCCUUGGUGGAUGUCCCCAAGGUGGACAUGAGGGUCCCCAAUCAUCUUCCAAAAAGGUGUCAAAUUCCCCAAUUUGGAUUGAGGUUCCUGGUGCGGGGCUCGGUGGAGUUCCCGGAGUUUGAUCUGGGACACCCGUGUUCUUCCCAAAAGGACAAAUUCCCCAAUUUGGAUUGAGGUUCCUGGUGCGGGGCUUGGUGGAGGUCCCCAAGUUUGAUUGAUGGGCGCCAAUCGUCUUCCAAAAAGGUCAGAUUCCCCAAUUUGGAUUGAGGUUCCUGGUGCAGGGCUUGGUGGAUGUCCCCGAGUUGGACUUGAGAGUCCCCAAUCCUUCUGAAAAGGUGUCAAAGUCGUCAAUUUGGCUGGAGCUUACUGUUGCGUGGCUUGGUGGAUGUCCCCAAGGUGGACAUGAGGGUCCCCAGUCUUCUUCCCAAAAGGUCAAAUUCCCCAAUUUGGACUGAGGUUCCUGGUGCGGGGCUUGGUGGAGGUCCCCGAGUUUGAUUGAUGGGCGCCAAUCGUCUUCCAAAAAGGUCAAAUUCCCCAAUUUGGAUUGAGGUUCCUGGUGCGGGGCUUGGUGGAUGUCCCCGAGGUGGACAUGAGGGUCCCCAAUCAUCUUCCGAAAAGGUCAAAUUCCCCAAUUUGAAUUGAGGUUCCUUGUGCAGGGCUUGGUGGAGGUCCCUGAGUUGGACUUGAGAGUCCCCAAUCCUUCUGAAAAGGUGUCAAAGUCGUCAAUUUGGCUGGAGCUUACUGUUGCGUGGCUUGGUGGAUGUCCCCAAGGUGGACAUGAGGGUCCCCAAUCAUCUUCCAAAAAGGUGUCAAAUUCCCCAAUUUGGAUUGAGGUUCCUGGUGCGGGGCUUGGUGGAGGUCCCCGAAUUUGAUUGAUGGUCGCCAAUCGUCUUCCGAAAAGGUCAAAUUCCCCAAUUUGGAUUGAGGUUCCUGGUGCGGGGCUUGGUGGAUGUCCCUGAGUUUGAUUGGUGGUCGCCAAUCGUCUUCUGAAAAGGUCAAAUUCCCCAAUUUGUAUUGAGGUUCCUGGUGCGGGGCUUGGUGGAUGUCCCCGAGGUGGACAUGAGGGUCCCCAAUCAUCUUCCGAAAAGGUCAAAUUCCCCAAUUUGGAUUGAGGUUCCUGGUGCAGGGCUUGGUGGAGGUCCCCUAGUUUGAUCCAUGGACGCCAAUCAUCUUCCCAAAAGGUCAAAUUCCCCAAUUUGGAUUGAGGUUCCUGGUGCGGGGCUUGGUGGAGGUCCCCGAGUUUGAAUGAUGGUCCCCAAUUGUCUUCUGAAAAGGUCAAAUUCCCCAAUUUGGAUUGAGGUUCCUGGUGCGGGGCUUGGUGGAGGUCCCCGAGUUUGAUUGAUGGUCCCCAAUCGUCUUCUGAAAAGGUCAAAUUCCCCAAUUUGGAUUGAGGUUCCUGGUGGUGGGCUCAGUGGAUUUUCCCAAGUUGGUGGUGAGAGUCCCCAAUCCUUCUCAAAAGGAUCAAAUUCUCCAACUUUCCUGUUCCUUACUGUUGCGUGUCUUGGUGGAUGUCCCCGAGGUGGACAUGAGGGUCCCCAAUCAUCUUUCAAAAACGUGUCAAAUCCCCCAAUUUGGAUUGUGGUUCCUGGUGGUGGGCUCAGUGGAUUUUCCCAAGUUGGUAGUGAGAGUCCCUAAUCCAUCUGAAAAGGAGUCAAAUUCGCCAAUUUGCUUGUUGCUUACUGUUGCGUGACUUGGUGGAUGUCCCCGAGGUGGACAUGAGGGUCCCCAAUCAUCUUCCAAAAAGGUGUCAAUUUCCCCAAUUUGGAUUGAGGUUCCUGGUGCGCGGCUUGGUGGAGGUCCCCGAGUUGGAAUGAGGGUCCCCAAUCAUCUUCCGAAAAGGUCAAAUUCCCCAAUUUGGAUUAAGGUUCCUGCUACGUGGCUUGGUGGAUGUCCCCGAGGUGGACUUGAGAGUCCCCAAUCAUCUUCCAAAAAGCUGUCAAAUUCCCCAAUUUGGAUCGAGGUUCCUGGUAUGGGGCUUUUCUUUUGUUUUUUAGAGUUUUUCUGGAAAAAUUGAAUGAAUAAAAACAUUCUGUUCCUUUGAUGUCUCUGUAGUUUAUCAUUUUGCUCUUGUUGUUUAUCUCUUCUUUUUUUUUUCUCUCUCUUUAUUUUGGCUUCUUUUAAUGAGUCAUUCUCAUUAGGCAUGCUAUCUUCAAUAAUUUGGAGUUGGUGGUUUAAAGAAAGAUUCCCUUGAUUUUGAUGACCCAUGACUGUUUUCCUGGACUGGCCCAAGUUGUUUUCCUGAGGGAUACAGGCAUCACUUUGAAUAAAGUCCUCAAUAUAAGAUAGAAAGAUAUGCUGUUGUCCUAUUUGGAUUGAGGUUCCUGGUGAGGGGCUUGGUGGAUGUCCCUGAGUUGGACCUGAGGGUCCCCAAUCAUCUUCCGAAAAGGUGUCAAAUUCCCCAAUUUGGAUUGAGGUUCCUGGUAUGGGGCUCUUCAUUUGUUUUUUAGAGUUUCUCUGGAAAAAUUGAAUGAAUAAAAACAUUCUGUUCCUUUGA
Molecule: long non-coding RNA, 2688 nt
Organism: Antechinus flavipes (yellow-footed antechinus)
Lineage: Eukaryota; Metazoa; Chordata; Mammalia; Dasyuromorphia; Dasyuridae
Exons: 4
Source: RefSeq, a predicted model, not a curated record